Molecule: ribosomal RNA, 253 nt
Filed under: uncultured bacterium
Lineage: Bacteria
Description: partial 16S ribosomal RNA
Rfam family: Bacterial small subunit ribosomal RNA
Source: RNAcentral
UACGGGGGGGGCAAGCGUUGUUCGGAAUUACUGGGCGUAAAGGGUUUGUAGGUGGCUUGCUAAGUCAGACGUGAAAUCCCUCAGCUUAACUGGGGGACUGCGUCUGAGACUGGCAAGCUCGAGUGCAGGAGAGGAACGCGGAAUUCCAGGUGUAGCGGUGAAAUGCGUAGAUAUCUGGAGGAACACCGAUGGCGAAGGCAGCCCCCUGGGCUAACACUGACGCUCAGGCACGAAAGCGUGGGGAGCAAACAGG